GAGAUUUUAAAAAAUAAUAGAGCAAAGUCAAACAUCAAAUCCUUAUUUUUCUCUCCUCUCAACUAUAUGCACAGAAUAGAAAAUAGGGCAUCGCACUCAAUCUCACAAACUUGCCCCCUUCUUCCUUUUCGUCUCACCACAAACUAUCAAUGGCCUCCUCAUCCUCGCCAUAAUCACCGGCCGGAGUCAAAUUCCACCAUCCUCUAUUCCUCUCCCAGUUGGGAGAGGAACCCUUCUCCUCUUUUCCCCCAAUUAGGGCACAACAGGGGUGAAGACGCGAGUCAUCUGGAUCCGGGACGCCAUCUCCACUCAUCACUAGAGCAUCCACCUUCUUCUUCUCUCGAUUGGGAGAAGUUCCAUCCUAUCGCCCACUUCAUCUCUUUCCUCUCCCGAUUGGGAGUGGAGGCGGCCGAUUUUUCGACACCACAGCCACAUCUCUCGAUUGGUAGAGGAGACAAGGGAUCUUGGAUCUGAGGUCUCUCCCAUCUCCUUUGGAAGCUCACAAUCGGCCAUCCACUUCAACUUUCUCGACAUUUCCUCUUUAGAUUCAAAGAUGAGAUUUUUACAACCACGAUCUUACCGCAAACACCCGAUUGGGAGUCUCUUCGUCAUCAUCUUCGACUUUUUCGGACAGCAGGCCUUCUCCACAAGCUAAUUAGUCCCAAUUGGGGCUUGGUUGCGAAAUCAUCUUUUAUUCAUACAAUCUCCUAGUUCUUGAAUUUAUGAUUGCAAAUGGCUUCUAAUUCUCAUGUAAUAUGUUUACAGGUUCAUCAUGCUUUACUGAAGGAGCUAGUUCAUAAAGCUGUUAGCGAGACUCCAAUUAGUAGUGGCAUUGUAUUGUGACUGAUCUUGUCCGAAAACUGAGAAGACGACUGGCUGGGAACGUAGCUAUGUGGUUGACCGGAAGAAGACUCUGUGCUGUCCUACAAAACCUGGAGCGUUAGUGUCGGGUCAGGGAGGGGUCCUCGACAUUAUCCCUCUAAUGCUCAAGUUAAUAUCUGGUUCAAUAGAGAGGAAUAGUAGCAGUGAACAGUAGCGAGAAGUGUGUAGAAUAAUGAAGCAUCGCAUACCUUCACCUGUGGAUGGAGCCCCCCUUUUAUAGUGUCAUUGUAGCGUCUCUGUAUGUACCAUCAGUUUUUCUUUAUCCAUUAAUGGAGUCAUGUAUGGCCACUUCAAAGGUGCCAGAGGACUACCAUAGGAUAAUCCCCUGUCUCCCUAUCUAUUUGGGAUAUGUAUGGAAUACUUAGCCCGCAUGCUGAGUCAACAAAUAAAAUGGACAAAUUUUCAUUUCCA
Zingiber officinale is the source of this 1293-nucleotide long non-coding RNA. RefSeq lists it as uncharacterized. NCBI's taxonomy places the organism in Eukaryota, Viridiplantae, Streptophyta, Magnoliopsida, Zingiberales, Zingiberaceae. The transcript has 2 exons. The record is from RefSeq and is a predicted model, not a curated record.